Oncorhynchus tshawytscha (Chinook salmon) is the source of this 978-nucleotide long non-coding RNA. The record is from Ensembl. Lineage: Eukaryota; Metazoa; Chordata; Actinopteri; Salmoniformes; Salmonidae.
AGGAGGGUGCAUAGGAGGGUGCAAGGGAGGGUGUAAGGGAGGGUGCAAGGGAGGGUGUAAGGGAGGGCACAUAGGAGGGUGAAAGGGAGGGUGCAAGGGAGGGUGCAUAGGAGGGUGUAAGGUAGGGUGCAUAGGAGGGUGCAUGGGAGGGUGUAAGGAAGGGCGCAUAGGAGGGUGCAUGGGUGGGCGCAUAGGAGGGUGCAAGGGAGGGCGCAUAGGAGGGUGCAUAGGAGGGUGUAAGGGAGGGCGCAUAGGAGGGUGCAAGGGAGGGCGCAAGGGAGGACGCAUAGGAGGGUGCAAGGGAGGGCGCAUAGGAGGGUGCAAGGGAGGGUGUAAGGGAGGGUGCAAGGGAGGGUGUAAGGGAGGGCGAUAGGAGGGUGCAAGGGAGGGUGCAAGGGAGGGUGCAAGGGAGGGUGUAAGGGAGGGUGUAAGGGAGGGCGCAUAGGAGGGUGCAUGGGCGGGCGCAUAGGAGGGUGCAAGGGAGGGCGCAUAGGAGGGUGCAUAGGAGGGUGUAAGGGAGGGCGCAUAGGAGGGUGCAAGGGAGGGGCGGGGCAUAGGAGGGUGCAAGGGAGGGCGCAUAGGAGGGUGCAAGGGAGGGGUGCAUAGGGAGGGUGCAAGGGAGGGCGCAUAGGAGGGUGCAAGGGAGGGUGCAUAGGAGGGUGCAAGGGAGGGUGCAAGGGAGGGUGCAUAGGAGGGUAUAAGGGAGGGCGCAUAGGAGGGUGCAAGGGAUGGUGUAAGGGAUGGGUGCAAGGGAGGGUGUAAGGGAGGGCGCAUAGGAGGGUGCAAGGGAGGGUGCAUAGGAGGGUGCAUGGGAGGAUGUAAGGGAGGGCGCAUAAUAGGAGGGUGCAUGGGAGGGCGCAUAGGAGGGCGUAAGGGAGCUUCCUAACCUGUCUGAAUGGAUAGACUUCAGCUUCCUAACCUAUUAGACCGUAAGGUGGAGCUAUAAUAUACUACUGGAGCUAUAAUAUACUACUGGAG